Molecule: transfer RNA, 73 nt
Filed under: archaeon
Lineage: Archaea
Description: tRNA-Val
Rfam family: tRNA
About the family: Transfer RNA (tRNA) molecules are approximately 80 nucleotides in length. Their secondary structure includes four short double-helical elements and three loops (D, anti-codon, and T loops).
Source: RNAcentral
GGUUGCGUAGUUUAGUGGUUAUAACGCUGCAUUCACACUGCAGAGGUCGUGGGUUCGAUCCCCACCGCGGCCU